CGUACACUCCUACGGGAGGCAGCAGUGGGGAAUUUUGGACAAUGGGCGAAAGCCUGAUCCAGCCAUGCCGCGUGCAGGAUGAAGGCCUUCGGGUUGUAAACUGCUUUUGUACGGAACGAAACGGCCUUUUCUAAUAAAGAGGGCUAAUGACGGUACCGUAAGAAUAAGCACCGGCUAACUACGUGCCAGCAGCCGCGGUAAUACGUAGGGUGCAAGCGUUAAUCGGAAUUACUGGGCGUAAAGCGUGCGCAGGCGGUUAUGUAAGACAGUUGUGAAAUCCCCGGGCUCAACCUGGGAACUGCAUCUGUGACUGCAUAGCUAGAGUACGGUAGAGGGGGAUGGAAUUCCGCGUGUAGCAGUGAAAUGCGUAGAUAUGCGGAGGAACACCGAUGGCGAAGGCAAUCCCCUGGACCUGUACUGACGCUCAUGCACGAAAGCGUGGGGAGCAAACAGGAUUAGAUACCCUUGUAGUCCCAUA
RNAcentral lists this ribosomal RNA (478 nucleotides) under uncultured organism. Its description in RNAcentral is "partial 16S ribosomal RNA". It matches the Rfam family "Bacterial small subunit ribosomal RNA", at positions 330 to 799 of the family's 1533-position model. The record is from RNAcentral.